RNAcentral lists this ribosomal RNA (453 nucleotides) under uncultured Polaribacter sp. Its description in RNAcentral is "bacterial SSU rRNA". It matches the Rfam family "Bacterial small subunit ribosomal RNA", at positions 32 to 482 of the family's 1533-position model. Lineage: Bacteria; Pseudomonadati; Bacteroidota; Flavobacteriia; Flavobacteriales; Flavobacteriaceae. The record is from RNAcentral.
AACGCUAGCGGCAGGCUUAACACAUGCAAGUCGAGGGGUAACAUUGUGCUUGCACAGAUGACGACCGGCGCACGGGUGCGUAACGCGUAUAGAACCUACCUUUUACAGAGGAAUAGCCUUUAGAAAUGAAGAUUAAUGCCUCAUGGUAUUGUAGACUGGCAUCAGUUUAUAAUUAAAGAUUUAUCGGUAAAAGAUGGCUAUGCGUCCUAUUAGUUAGUUGGUAAGGUAACGGCUUACCAAGACAGCGAUAGGUAGGGGUCCUGAGAGGGAGAUCCCCCACACUGGUACUGAGACACGGACCAGACUCCUACGGGAGGCAGCAGUGAGGAAUAUUGGACAAUGGAGGAGACUCUGAUCCAGCCAUGCCGCGUGUAGGAAGAAUGCCCUAUGGGUUGUAAACUACUUUUAUACAGGAAGAAACACUGGUAUGUAUACCAGCUUGACGGUACUGUA